GACGAACGCUGGCGGCGUGCCUAAUACAUGCAAGUUGAGCGAUGAAGAUUGGUGCUUGCACCAAUUUGAAGAGCAGCGAACGGGUGAGUAACGCGUGGGGAAUCUGCCUUUGAGCGGGGGACAACAUUUGGAAACGAAUGCUAAUACCGCAUAACAACUUUAAACAUAAGUUUUAAGUUUGAAAGAUGCAAUUGCAUCACUCAAAGAUGAUCCCGCGUUGUAUUAGCUAGUUGGUGAGGUAAAGGCUCACCAAGGCGAUGAUACAUAGCCGACCUGAGAGGGUGAUAGGCCAAAAUGGGAAUGAGACAAGGCCCAAACCCCUACGGGAGGCAGCAGGAGGGAAUCUUCGGCAAUGGACGAAAGUCUGACCGAGCAACGCCGCGUGAGUGAAGAAGGGUUUCGGAUCGUAAAACUCUGUUGGUAGAGAAGAACGUUGGUGAGAGUGGAAAGCGCAUCAAGUGACGGUAACUACCCAGAAAGGGACGGCUAACUACGUG
RNAcentral lists this ribosomal RNA (497 nucleotides) under uncultured bacterium. RNAcentral describes it as "partial 16S ribosomal RNA". It matches the Rfam family "Bacterial small subunit ribosomal RNA", at positions 28 to 507 of the family's 1533-position model. The record is from RNAcentral.